AGGCUUUCGCACACGAUCAGCGUCGGGCGGCCCGGAUGGGCGCGCAGCAACUCUUCGAGAUGUGCAACGUCGUUGUGGCGGAACACGAUGUAUUCGGUGCCCGACUGGCGGAUGCCCUCGAUCAUCGAAUUAUGGUUCAACGCGUCCGACAGGAUCAGGCAGUUCGGAAUCAGCUUCGCCAGAGUCGCGAUGCCGGUCUGGUUCGAGACAUAGCCCGAGGUGAAAACCAGCGCCGCUUCCUUGCCGUGCAGAUCCGCGAGCUCUUG
This 266-nucleotide unclassified non-coding RNA is filed under the name Hevea brasiliensis (rubber tree). Lineage: Eukaryota; Viridiplantae; Streptophyta; Magnoliopsida; Malpighiales; Euphorbiaceae. The record is from RNAcentral.